CCGCUGUUGAACUGAACCUUACUAGUUCGCAAUUGCUCGAGGAAAUGCCCAACGGGCGCUUAGUUCGGAAGUACUAGUACGUGUUGAGCAUGACAGCCGGCCGGCUGGUGACAAAGAAACAAUUAAUCAUGAAAAUAACAGCUUCAUUCAACCCGGCCUGAAGACGAAGAAGAAGAUGCAUGGAUGCAGGAAACCAACGAUCGAUGACAAAUUAAGGUGAACUGAGCCUAUCUCAGGCGGCCUGAUUUCUUGUGGUGGAACCAACCCAUUCAGUGGUAGGUGACGUACCCAUCAAUAGCGACAGGGGCGGAGCUACAUAGCCUCUGCACAGGCACCAGGUUCCAGAUUUUUUUUUUACUAGCAAUCAGGAUAAAAGUUUGCAAUGUGCACCAGGUUAGAUGAAGAAAAGUGCACUAUGUCCUGAAAAUUCGUAGUGUAAGCAACCCAAGAAGACUAUUGUGCACCAGUUCAUUCUUU
This is a long non-coding RNA of Brachypodium distachyon (stiff brome), 477 nucleotides long. RefSeq lists it as uncharacterized. NCBI's taxonomy places the organism in Eukaryota, Viridiplantae, Streptophyta, Magnoliopsida, Poales, Poaceae. The transcript has 3 exons. The record is from RefSeq and is a predicted model, not a curated record.